AAAUUGAAGAGUUUGAUCAUGGCUCAGAUUGAACGCUGGCGGCAGGCCUAACACAUGCAAGUCGAGCGGAAACGAGUUAUCUGAACCUUCGGGGGACGAUAACGGCGUCGAGCGGCGGACGGGUGAGUAAUGCCUAGGAAAUUGCCCUGAUGUGGGGGAUAACCAUUGGAAACGAUGGCUAAUACCGCAUGAUGCCUUUGGGCCAAAGAGGGGGACCUUCGGGCCUCUCGCGUCAGGAUAUGCCUAGGUGGGAUUAGCUAGUUGGUGAGGUAAGGGCUCACCAAGGCGACGAUCCCUAGCUGGUCUGAGAGGAUGAUCAGCCACACUGGAACUGAGACACGGUCCAGACUCCUACGGGAGGCAGCAGUGGGGAAUAUUGCACAAUGGGCGCAAGCCUGAUGCAGCCAUGCCGCGUGUGUGAAGAAGGCCUUCGGGUUGUAAAGCACUUUCAGUCGUGAGGAAGG
RNAcentral lists this ribosomal RNA (464 nucleotides) under Vibrio parahaemolyticus. Its description in RNAcentral is "bacterial SSU rRNA". It matches the Rfam family "Bacterial small subunit ribosomal RNA", at positions 1 to 451 of the family's 1533-position model. The record is from RNAcentral. Lineage: Bacteria; Pseudomonadati; Pseudomonadota; Gammaproteobacteria; Vibrionales; Vibrionaceae.